RNAcentral lists this ribosomal RNA (453 nucleotides) under uncultured Bacteroides sp. RNAcentral's name for it is "partial 16S ribosomal RNA". It matches the Rfam family "Bacterial small subunit ribosomal RNA", at positions 341 to 792 of the family's 1533-position model. RNAcentral also lists the same sequence under 1 other name. Lineage: Bacteria; Pseudomonadati; Bacteroidota; Bacteroidia; Bacteroidales; Bacteroidaceae. The record is from RNAcentral.
ACGGGAGGCAGCAGUGAGGAAUAUUGGUCAAUGGACGCAGGUCUGAACCAGCCAAGUAGCGUGAAGGAUGACGGCCCUAUGGGUUGUAAACUUCUUUUACAGGGGAAUAAAGUCGCCCACGUGUGGGCGUUUGCAUGUACCCUGCGAAUAAGGAUCGGCUAAUUCCGUGCCAGCAGCCGCGGUAAUACGGAAGAUCCGAGCGUUAUCCGGAUUUAUUGGGUUUAAAGGGAGCGUAGGCGGGCUGAUAAGUCAGUGGUCAAAGCGUGUGGCUCAACCAUACCACGCCGUUGAAACUGUCAGCCUUGAGUGCACGCGAGGAUGGUGGAAUUCGUGGUGUAGCGGUGAAAUGCUUAGAUAUCACGAAGAACUCCGAUUGCGAAGGCAGCUGUCCGGAGUGCAACUGACGCUGAUGCUCGAAAGUGCGGGAAUCAAACAGGAUUAGAUACCCUGGUA